GCCCCAGACUCCAUGCUGCAUCCCCAGCAAGUGACCGGUCUGUCCAGGAGACCUCUUGCAGAGAAGCUCAUUUUGGGGUUUCUUUGUUCUGCCCGCUACUCCCCAUCAAGGAAGUUUCAACUGAGUUUAUCAGGGAUGUCUUGGAACUCUGACUGAGACACCUUCUUUGCUGGACCAUCCUUCAGACCAGCUCACCAGUCUGUGGAGACCAUAACCACGUCAAGCAUGGUGUAUUGCAUAGAUGGAGGGCAUCAUCCAGAGCACACCAGGCCAAGCAUACACUGU
Molecule: long non-coding RNA, 285 nt
Organism: Chiroxiphia lanceolata (lance-tailed manakin)
Lineage: Eukaryota; Metazoa; Chordata; Aves; Passeriformes; Pipridae
Exons: 3
Source: RefSeq, a predicted model, not a curated record